UGGGGAAUAUUGCACAAUGGGCGCAAGCCUGAUGCAGCAACGCCGCGUGAGGGACGACGGCCUUCGGGUUGUAAACCUCUUUUAGUAGGGAAGAAGCGAAAGUGACGGUACCUGCAGAAAAACGCACCGGCUAACUACGUGCCAGCAGCCGCGGUAAUACGUAGGGUGCGAGCGUUGUCCGGAAUUAUUGGGCGUAAAGAGCUCGUAGGCGGUCUGUCGCGUCUGCUGUGAAAAUCCCGAGGCUCAACCUCGGGCCUGCAGUGGGUACGGGCAGACUAGAGUGCGGUAGGGGAGAAUGGAAUUCCUGGUGUAGCGGUGGAAUGCGCAGAUAUCAGGAGGAACACCGAUGGCGAAGGCAGUUCUCUGGGCCGUAACUGACGCUGAGGAGCGAAAGCGUGGGGAGCGAACAGGAUUAGAUACCCUGGUAGUCCACGCCGUAAACGUUGGGCGCUAGAUGUGGGGACCAUUCCACGGUUUCCGUGUCGCAGCUAACGCAUUAAGCGCCCGCCUGGGGAGUACGGCCGCAAGGCUAAAA
RNAcentral lists this ribosomal RNA (535 nucleotides) under uncultured bacterium. RNAcentral's name for it is "partial 16S ribosomal RNA". It matches the Rfam family "Bacterial small subunit ribosomal RNA", at positions 355 to 899 of the family's 1533-position model. The record is from RNAcentral.